AGAGUUUGAUCCUGGCUCAGAACGAACGCUGGCGGCGUGCUUAACACAUGCAAGUCGAACGUGAUCCGGAGCUUGCUCCGGUGAAAGUGGCGCACGGGUGAGUAACGCGUGGAUAACCUGCCCUGGUAUCUGGGAUAACAUCUCGAAAGGGGUGCUAAUACCGGAUAAGCCUACGGGAUCUUCGGAUUCUGCAGGAAAAGGAGGCCUCUAUUUAUAAGCUUCCGUAUCAUGAUGGGUCCGCGUACCAUUAGCUAGUUGGUGGGGUAAUGGCCUACCAAGGCGACGAUGGUUAGCUGGUCUGAGAGGAUGAUCAGCCACACUGGAACUGAGACACGGUCCAGACUCCUACGGGAGGCAGCAGUGGGGAAUUUUGCGCAAUGGGGGAAACCCUGACGCAGCAACGCCGCGUGAGUGAUGAAGGCUUUCGGGUCGUAAAGCUCUGUCAGAGGGGAAGAAAUGAAACGUGCUAAUAUCACGUUUUCUUGACGGUACCCUCAAAGGAAGCACCGGCUAACUCCGUGCCAGCAGCCGCGGUAAUAC
RNAcentral lists this ribosomal RNA (540 nucleotides) under uncultured Geobacter sp. RNAcentral describes it as "bacterial SSU rRNA". It matches the Rfam family "Bacterial small subunit ribosomal RNA", at positions 8 to 526 of the family's 1533-position model. Lineage: Bacteria; Pseudomonadati; Thermodesulfobacteriota; Desulfuromonadia; Geobacterales; Geobacteraceae. RNAcentral also lists the same sequence under 1 other name. The record is from RNAcentral.